CGGGCAAUUUAUUUCCAUCGAAGCGUACGGCAACAGAGAACCGGGGCCACUAUAGGCCACUAUAUACAGUACAGUGGGAAGAAACACUAAGCAGUGCUUAAAAAGACAUGUCGAAAAUGUGUUAACAAGCCACGCAUGGCUGACAGCUACACUUUAGUGACCAAGAAAAACAUCACGUUACUCCUGAGCUUUCAUUCUAUUUUUUUCUAUUUUUUUUUUUAGUCCCAGUAACGUUUCACGUUCAUGAAAGGGAUCCUUUCCCACACUGUGAAACGCUGAGGUGAUGUGAUGAUGGGCUGUCACAUGCACGGAGAGGGCCUCUCCGAGGGCCGGAAAGAGCGGAAACGCAGGAAAUUCUCCACAUUCCUGACAGGAAGAGAUAAUAAGCUUCCGACCAACAGCGCGGGAAAAAUAACCACCAGAAACAGAGUAGAGCUUCUGAGACAGUAGCUAAAGUGUGUGUGUGUGUGUGUGUGUGUGUGUGUGUGUGUGUGUGUGUGUGUGUGUGUGUGUGUGUGUGUGUAUGUGUGUAUGUGUGUGUGUGUGUUUUUACAGAGAGCAGGGUGAACCCAAACCCAAACAGCUCCAAAGAGACAGGUCGAAGAAAUAGCGAGAGAGAGAGACCGAGAGAAAUUCUAGGUGGUGCUGAAGGUGAAGGGAAAAGUGAAGGCUCUGCUGCAGAUUUAAAUAAUUCAGAUGGAAACACCGCUGGUCCUGUGUAAACACCAGCAGAACUUAAUGCUUAAGAAGGUCAUCUACUGCAUCAGAGCAGAGGCUGUACGGUAAAUGCUCACAAAUCAGUCCUCCGUCUUUACCUACAGUAAGCUUGUUACACAAACCAGGGAAAAAAAUCCACACAAAUUCCUUGAUUUUUGUAUUAUAGUAAUAUUUAUAGUAUUCUCUAUAAUAACCUUUUGUUCUAUGUUUAGGUUCUGUGAAGCUGCUUUGAGACGAUGCCAACUGUAAAAAGCGCCUUACAGAUAAAUUAACAAGAAAGUCCACAAUCUUUUCCAAUUAAAUUGCACCUAAAUGCAUCUGACUACACAAACAUUACAAUAUCUCAUAUAACUGCUGCUAUUACACUUUCAUUUCACUGUGUACGGCAUCUGCGAUAUACAGUAUGGUUGAGUUGACAAUAAAAUCUUCUUGACUUGACUUGACUUAGACAUCUACUCCAACAGACCAUUUUAUGCUCUGGAGACCGAUAUAAUUAGUUUUAAAUGACUACAUCGCUUCAUUCGAACAUUUUCUACUAUACAUUUUUUUUUGCAGCAAUGUUUUGGCAGCUUUGUUUCAUUUCAUGUCCCUUAUUUAUCAUUAUCAUCGUAGAAUAUGGCGAAUGAACACUUGUCUGAAAGACAUUUAUCAGUAGCUUCACAAACAAGGGAACCGAGGCGUUUCACACGCUCGCUGAGGGUCUGAGGGGAGACGAGGCGAGAAGCAAACCUAUAAUUCUGCAUUCCAGCUUUGCCGCUGUGCAAGCCUUCACUUUAAUAACAGCGUCAAGAGGAAAAGAAAUUCCUUUGAAAGUAA
Long non-coding RNA from Tachysurus fulvidraco (yellow catfish), 1533 nucleotides. RefSeq lists it as uncharacterized. The transcript is spliced from 2 exons. Lineage: Eukaryota; Metazoa; Chordata; Actinopteri; Siluriformes; Bagridae. The record is from RefSeq and is a predicted model, not a curated record.